This 484-nucleotide ribosomal RNA is filed under the name uncultured bacterium. Its description in RNAcentral is "partial 16S ribosomal RNA". It matches the Rfam family "Bacterial small subunit ribosomal RNA", at positions 30 to 507 of the family's 1533-position model. The record is from RNAcentral.
AUUGAACGCUGGCGGCAGGCCUAACACAUGCAAGUCGAGCGGAUGAAGGGAGCCUGCUCCUGGAUUCAGCGGCGGACGGGUGAGUAAUGCCUAGGAAUCUGCCUGGUAGUGGGGGAUAACGUCCGGAAACGGGCGCUAAUACCGCAUACGUCCUGAGGGAGAAAGUGGGGGAUCUUCGGACCUCACGCUAUCAGAUGAGCCUAGGUCGGAUUAGCUAGUUGGUGGGGUAAAGGCCUACCAAGGCGACGAUCCGUAACUGGUCUGAGAGGAUGAUCAGUCACACUGGAACUGAGACACGGUCCAGACUCCUACGGGAGUCAGCAGUGGGGAAUAUUGGACAAUGGGCGAAAGCCUGAUCCAGCCAUGCCGCGUGUGUGAAGAAGGUCUUCGGAUUGUAAAGCACUUUAAGUUGGGAGGAAGGGCAGUAAGUUAAUACCUUGCUGUUUUGACGUUACCAACAGAAUAAGCACCGGCUAACUUCGUG